ACGAACGCUUGCGGGUGCUAAGAAAAUGCAAGUCGAGCGGGGUGUAGCAAUACACCUAGCGGCGAACGGUCGCGUAACACGUAACCAACUGCCUCAAAGACCGGGACAACAGAGGGAAACCUCUGCUAAUACCGGAGUGUGGGCCACCGGAUGGCAUCUUCUGGUGAUUAAACCGAGCAAUCGGUUUGAGAGGGGGUUGCGGCCUAUCAGCUAGUUGGUGGGGUAACGGCCUACCAAGGCGACGACGGGUAACUGGUCUGAAGGACGAUCAGCCGGACUGGGACUGAGAUACGGCCCAGACUCCUACGGGGGGCAGCAAUUAGGAAUCUUGCGCAAUGGGCGAAAGCCUGACGCAGCGACGCCGCGUGAGGGAGGAAGUCCUUCGGGAUGUAAACCUCUUUUGUCUGGGAAGAAAAAAAUGACGGUACCAGGCGAAUAAGCCCCGGCUAACUACGUGCCAGCAGCCGCGGUAAUACGUAGGGGGCGAGCGUUGUCCGAAGUUACUGGGCGUAAAGCGCGCGUAGGCGGGUUGCUAAGUGAGAAGUGAAAGGCUGAGGCUCAACCUCAUGCAGUGCUUCUCAUACUGGCAGUCUUGAGGGAGGCAGAGAGAAGUGGAAUGGCUGGUGUAGCGGUGAAAUGCGUAGAUUCAGUCGGAACACCCGUGGCGAAGGCGGCUUCUUGGGCCUUCUCCUGACGCUGAGGCGCGAAAAGCCAAGGGGAGCGAACGGGAUUAGAUACCCCGGGU
RNAcentral lists this ribosomal RNA (745 nucleotides) under uncultured bacterium. RNAcentral's name for it is "bacterial SSU rRNA". It matches the Rfam family "Bacterial small subunit ribosomal RNA", at positions 29 to 792 of the family's 1533-position model. The record is from RNAcentral.